UGCCUAAGCGAAGGGGAGUAGCCCGCAAUCGCCCGGUCGACAUACUGGCGUUCAGCCCGGCCCGGCGAACCGGAAUCCGUACCGGUGGGCGAGACCUUCGGCCGCGAC
This 108-nucleotide unclassified non-coding RNA is filed under the name Rhodococcus ruber. Its description in RNAcentral is "yybP-ykoY". The record is from RNAcentral. Lineage: Bacteria; Bacillati; Actinomycetota; Actinomycetes; Mycobacteriales; Nocardiaceae.